UGGGGAAUUUUGGACAAUGGGCGAAAGCCUGAUCCAGCAAUGCCGCGUGUGUGAAGAAGGCCUUCGGGUUGUAAAGCACUUUUGUCCGGAAAGAAAUCCUUGGCUCUAAUACAGUCGGGGGAUGACGGUACCGGAAGAAUAAGCACCGGCUAACUACGUGCCAGCAGCCGCGGUAAUACGUAGGGUGCAAGCGUUAAUCGGAAUUACUGGGCGUAAAGCGUGCGCAGGCGGUUUGCUAAGACCGAUGUGAAAUCCCCGGGCUCAACCUGGGAACUGCAUGCUGGAUACUGGCAGGCUAGAGUAUGGCAGAGGGGGGUUAGAAUUCCACGUGUAGCAGUGAAAUGCGUAGAGAUGUGGAGGAAUACCGAUGGCGAAGGCAGCCCCCUGGGCCAAUACUGACGCUCAUGCACGAAAGCGUGGGGAGCAAACAGGAUUAGAUACCCUGGUAGUCCACGCCCUAAACGAUGUCAACUAGUUGUUGGGGAUUCAUUUCCUUAGUAACGUAGCUAACGCGUGAAGUUGACCGCCUGGGGAGUACGGUCGCAAGAUUAAAAC
RNAcentral lists this ribosomal RNA (555 nucleotides) under uncultured bacterium. Its description in RNAcentral is "partial 16S ribosomal RNA". It matches the Rfam family "Bacterial small subunit ribosomal RNA", at positions 355 to 900 of the family's 1533-position model. The record is from RNAcentral.